GACGAACGCUGGCGGCGUGCUUAACACAUGCAAGUCGAACGAUGAACCCGGAGCUUGCUCUGGGGGAUUAGUGGCGAACGGGUGAGUAACACGUGAGUAACCUGCCCUGGACUCUGGGAUAAGCGUUGGAAACGACGUCUAAUACCGGAUAGGACCUUGGAUCGCAUGAUCUGGGGUGGAAAGUUUUUUCGGUCUGGGAUGGACUCGCGGCCUAUCAGCUUGUUGGUGAGGUAAUGGCUCACCAAGGCGUCGACGGGUAGCCGGCCUGAGAGGGUGACCGGCCACACUGGGACUGAGACACGGCCCAGACUCCUACGGGAGGCAGCAGUGGGGAAUAUUGCACAAUGGGCGAAAGCCUGAUGCAGCAACGCCGCGUGCGGGAGGACGGCCUUCGGGUUGUAAACCGCUUUUAGUAGGGAAGAAGGGCUUCGGCUUGACGGUACCUGCAGAAAAAGGACCGGCUAACUACGUG
RNAcentral lists this ribosomal RNA (472 nucleotides) under uncultured bacterium. Its description in RNAcentral is "partial 16S ribosomal RNA". It matches the Rfam family "Bacterial small subunit ribosomal RNA", at positions 28 to 507 of the family's 1533-position model. The record is from RNAcentral.